UAGUAUAUUGAUUAAUGGUUAUUGUAAGAAGAUGAAAGUAGACACAGCAAUACAUCUCUUAGAAGAAAUGCCCCUGAAAGGUUUAACACCUACAGUUGAAACAUACAGUACUAUUUUGGAUGGCU
This 125-nucleotide microRNA precursor is filed under the name Daucus carota subsp. sativus. RNAcentral describes it as "sRNA DCAR_mi00201". Lineage: Eukaryota; Viridiplantae; Streptophyta; Magnoliopsida; Apiales; Apiaceae. The record is from RNAcentral.